GUCGAGCGGUAAGGCCCUUCGGGGUACACGAGCGGCGAACGGGUGAGUAACACGUGGGUGAUCUGCCUCGUACUUCGGGAUAAGCCUGGGAAACUGGGUCUAAUACCGGAUAUGACCUUCGGAUGCAUGUCUGAGGGUGGAAAGAUUUAUCGGUACGAGAUGGGCCCGCGGCCUAUCAGCUUGUUGGUGGGGUAAUGGCCUACCAAGGCGACGACGGGUAGCCGGCCUGAGAGGGCGACCGGCCACACUGGGACUGAGACACGGCCCAGACUCCUACGGGAGGCAGCAGUGGGGAAUAUUGCACAAUGGGCGAAAGCCUGAUGCAGCGACGCCGCGUGAGGGAUGACGGCCUUCGGGUUGUAAACCUCUUUCGACAGGGACGAAGCGCAAGUGACGGUACCUGUAGAAGAAGCACCGGCCAACUACGUGCCAGCAGCCGCGGUAAUACGUAGGGUGCGAGCGUUGUCCGGAAUUACUGGGCGUAAAGAGCUUGUAGGCGGUUCGUCGCGUCGUUCGUGAAAACUUGGGGCUCAACCCCAAGCUUGCGGGCGAUACGGGCGGACUAGAGUACUUCAGGGGAGACUGGAAUUCCUGGUGUAGCGGUGAAAUGCGCAGAUAUCAGGAGGAACACCGGUGGCGAAGGCGGGUCUCUGGGAAGUAACUGACGCUGAGAAGCGAAAGCGUGGGUAGCGAACAGGAUUAGAUACCCUGGUAGUCCACGCCGUAAACGGUGGGUACUAGGUGUGGGUUUCCUUCCACGGGAUCCGUGCCGCAGCUAACGCAUUAAGUUCCCCGCCUGGGGAGUACGGCCGCAAGGUUAAAACUCAAAUGAAUUGACGGGGGCCCGCACAAGCGGCGGAGCAUGUGGAUUAAUUCGAUGCAACGCGAAGAACCUUACCAGGCCUUGACAUACACCGGAAACCUGCAGAGAUGUAGGCCCCCUUGUGGUCGGUGUACAGGUGGUGCAUGGCUGUCGUCAGCUCGUGUCGUGAGAUGUUGGGUUAAGUCCCGCAACGAGCGCAACCCUUAUCUUAUGUUGCCAGCGCGUAAUGGCGGGGACUCGUGAGAGACUGCCGGGGUCAACUCGGAGGAAGGUGGGGACGACGUCAAGUCAUCAUGCCCCUUAUGUCCAGGGCUUCACACAUGCUACAAUGGCCGGUACAGAGGGCUGCGAUACCGUGAGGUGGAGCGAAUCCCUUAAAGCCGGUCUCAGUUCGGAUCGGGGUCUGCAACUCGACCCCGUGAAGUUGGAGUCGCUAGUAAUCGCAGAUCAGCAACGCUGCGGUGAAUACGUUCCCGGGCCUUGUACACACCGCCCGUCACGUCAUGAAAGUCGGUAACCCCCGAAGCCGGUGGCCUAACCCCUUGUGGAGGGAGCCGU
Molecule: ribosomal RNA, 1381 nt
Filed under: Nocardia asteroides
Lineage: Bacteria; Bacillati; Actinomycetota; Actinomycetes; Mycobacteriales; Nocardiaceae
Description: bacterial SSU rRNA
Rfam family: Bacterial small subunit ribosomal RNA
Source: RNAcentral